Saimiri boliviensis boliviensis (Bolivian squirrel monkey) is the source of this 103-nucleotide small nuclear RNA. NCBI's taxonomy places the organism in Eukaryota, Metazoa, Chordata, Mammalia, Primates, Cebidae. The record is from Ensembl.
CUCAGCAAUGCUUACAUCCCCUACAGUUUGAACAAUUCGGAGUAUAUUAGUAUGGCCCCUGCACAAAGAUGAGCCACAAAUUUGUGAGGCAUUCCAUAUUAAA